This is a long non-coding RNA of Oncorhynchus tshawytscha (Chinook salmon), 565 nucleotides long. NCBI's taxonomy places the organism in Eukaryota, Metazoa, Chordata, Actinopteri, Salmoniformes, Salmonidae. The record is from Ensembl.
CUCACUUACACCCAGUCUCAACCGCAAACACAGCCCUACAACAACAACUCAGUCCAGUCUCCUUCAGAUAAUACUUAUCUGGGUGUGUCUAUAUCCAUACCAAUGUGCGUAGAUGGACAUUUAUCUUUGUGUUUGAGCUAUUUUCCUAAGUAUGUUUGGGCAUAUUUCACAUCUAUUGGAGUGUAUAUGUUGUCAGGAUGGAGGGGUCAGUUCAUCAUUACAGAUCCUCUGAUUGAAGGAGCGAUGAGGAGGCUGGUGACUGGUCCAGUCAGUUUGAUGAUGGGUUGUUGAACAGCUCCCUCUGUUGGUGACUGGUCCAGUCAGUUUGAUGAUGGGCUGUAGAACAGCUCCCUCUGUUGGUGGCUGGUCCAUCCUGUAUGGGAUGAUGGGUUGUUGAACAGCUCCCUCUGUUGGUGGCUGGUCCAGUCAGUUUGAUGAUGGGCUGUAGAACAGCUCCCUCUGUUGGUGACUGGUCCAGUCAGUUUGAUGAUGGGUUGUUGAACAGCUCCCUCUGUUGGUGGCUGGUCCAGUCAGUUUGAUGAUGGGUUGUUGAACAGCUCCCUCU